UGCGCAGGCGGAUUAAUAAGUCGGGGGUUAAAUCCAUGUGCUUAACACAUGCACGGCUUCCGAUACUGUUGAUCUAGAGUCUCGAAGAGGAAGGUGGAAUUUCCGGUGUAACGGUGGAAUGUGUAGAUAUCGGAAAGAACACCAGUGGCGAAGGCAGCCUUCUGGUCGAGUACUGACGCUCAUGCACGAAAGAGUGGGGAGCAAACA
RNAcentral lists this ribosomal RNA (207 nucleotides) under uncultured Chlorobaculum sp. RNAcentral describes it as "partial 16S ribosomal RNA". It matches the Rfam family "Bacterial small subunit ribosomal RNA", at positions 568 to 774 of the family's 1533-position model. Lineage: Bacteria; Pseudomonadati; Chlorobiota; Chlorobiia; Chlorobiales; Chlorobiaceae. The record is from RNAcentral.